AAAAAGUUGAGGACUGAGGAGAGAUGAUGUACAACAUGUCCCAUUAGGGGCACUGGUUUAUGGAACAGUUGAUUGGAAAAGGUUAGAGAUAAACAUAAAUACAAGCUGAUUUAUUGACAUCGAUUGUCUCCAUAUUGAUUGAGAAUUAUGUGCGUAGCUUUGUUGCAACUAAUCAACUUAGUUCAGGCUCAGUGAAGUGAUAAUCAUGUUGUCUUGACAAAGCUCGAGCAUAACUUGAA
RNAcentral lists this unclassified non-coding RNA (239 nucleotides) under Hevea brasiliensis (rubber tree). Lineage: Eukaryota; Viridiplantae; Streptophyta; Magnoliopsida; Malpighiales; Euphorbiaceae. The record is from RNAcentral.